Long non-coding RNA from Sinocyclocheilus anshuiensis, 668 nucleotides. RefSeq lists it as uncharacterized. The transcript is spliced from 12 exons. Lineage: Eukaryota; Metazoa; Chordata; Actinopteri; Cypriniformes; Cyprinidae. The record is from RefSeq and is a predicted model, not a curated record.
UAGACUGUAUAAAAACAGGCCGAGACUUUCCUUUCGUCCAUUUUGGUGCAGCUUCUCCGUUGCCAUGGCGGCUACGACGAGCAUGGGCUCAUGGGAAGUUUCCAUGCAGGAUGCUGGGAUGAGUAGACAGAUCUUUUAAAUUCAAGGGCUCAUUCACAUGAACUUGGAGGGCAUGGUGACCAUAGAUGUUGUAUUGAUCAUCCUACUUUAUCUGUGGUGGUCAUGGUGCGGCCAUAGUGUUGUAGUGUUGGAACAAAAUGACCUUUUCACCAAGAACCUGCAACUCCCUAAGGACUGUUAUUUGUCCAAAACCAAGUGUGCCAAGUCCUUUGGUGGUACUAGGUUGCUUACCUGAAGUACUCUCAGCAGGUGGCACAUCUGAUAUGAAACUUUAACCGGACUGCAGUGGAUUCUUGAAGUUCUUCCCCCUUGAGUGUACUGAAGCUAAACUACAGUGAACUUUCCCUCCACAAGUUCUUACUGAAGCUGGUCUCGUAAACUGCAUCUGAGAAGUUGAACUGGCUGACACCGAUUCGUGUCCUUGUACUGUGCAUCUGCUGAACUGAAGUGUUGACUGCAUGGUGUUAAUAAUUGACAAUAUAAAUGGAAUGGUUUUUCCUUUUUGUAUUUAUUCCUAAGCUGCUUGCAAAAUAAAUGGCUUUACUGAA